This 301-nucleotide ribosomal RNA is filed under the name uncultured bacterium. Its description in RNAcentral is "partial 16S ribosomal RNA". It matches the Rfam family "Bacterial small subunit ribosomal RNA", at positions 509 to 809 of the family's 1533-position model. The record is from RNAcentral.
CAGCCGCCGCGGUAAUACGUAGGUGGCAAGCGUUGUCCGGAAUUAUUGGGCGUAAAGGGCUCGCAGGCGGUUUCUUAAGUCUGAUGUGAAAGCCCCCGGCUCAACCGGGGAGGGUCAUUGGAAACUGGGAAACUUGAGUGCAGAAGAGGAGAGUGGAAUACCACGUGUAGCGGUGAAAUGCGUAGAGAUGUGGAGGAACACCAGUGGCGAAGGCGACUCUCUGGUCUGUAACUGACGCUGAGGAGCGAAAGCGUGGGGAGCGAACAGGAUUAGAUACCCCAGUAGUCCCUGUCUCUUAUAA